ACGCUCGACACCUACGGGGGGCAGCAGUCGGGAAUAUUGCGCAAUGGAGGAAACUCUGACGCAGUGACGCCGCGUGCAGGAAGAAGGUUUUCGGAUUGUAAACUGCUUUAGACAGGGAAGAAAAAGGACAGUACCUGUAGAAUAAGCUCCGGCUAACUACGUGCCAGUAGCCGCCGGUAAGUACUGAGCGGGCGUGGCGAAGGACG
RNAcentral lists this ribosomal RNA (206 nucleotides) under uncultured bacterium. Its description in RNAcentral is "partial 16S ribosomal RNA". It matches the Rfam family "Bacterial small subunit ribosomal RNA", at positions 328 to 544 of the family's 1533-position model. The record is from RNAcentral.